RNAcentral lists this ribosomal RNA (242 nucleotides) under uncultured bacterium. RNAcentral describes it as "partial small subunit ribosomal RNA". It matches the Rfam family "Bacterial small subunit ribosomal RNA", at positions 26 to 285 of the family's 1533-position model. The record is from RNAcentral.
AGAAUCAACGCUGGCGGCGUGCCUAACACAUGCAAGUCGAACGAGAAAGUGGAGCAAUCCAUGAGUACAGUGGCGUACGGGUGAGUAACACGUGACUACCUACCCUCGAGUGGGGAAUAACCUCGGGAAACCGGGCUAAUACCGCAUAACAUCUACGGAUCAAAUGCGAAAGCAGCUUGAGGAGGGGUCGCGGCCGAUUAGCUAGUUGGUGAGGUAAUGGCUCACCAAGGCAAUGAUCGGUA